Molecule: long non-coding RNA, 911 nt
Filed under: Oryza brachyantha (malo sina)
Lineage: Eukaryota; Viridiplantae; Streptophyta; Magnoliopsida; Poales; Poaceae
Description: long non-coding RNA (OBRA_LNC000862)
Source: RNAcentral
AUAAAUACACUGGCAUACUGUUGUUAAUAUCGAUUGAUUGCCUCGGGCAUAUGCAAAGGAACUUAAAAAAAAGAGCUUGGAGUGGAUGGAGUUUUUCUGUGGUUUUCCCGUGAAACCAACCACGAGGGAAACUUUCCUUUGCUUUUCCUCUAGGCAGCUAGUGUGAUCCGAAUGAUACGAAAAGGAAAAAUUCCUGUGAACAGUAUUCCUUCAAAAAUCCAACGGAAAUCCUGUAAUCCGAAUAGGUUCAAGUUCAUAAUAUAAAUAGCUCCAGGGCUUGUAUCAGGUAGCACCGUUCACUUCCCUUCCUCUUUCUGUUUGCUCAUCAAAAGAAGCUUGCUUGCAUCAAUUUUUGGAGAAUUAGCUUGGUCAUCAUUUAGCCAACACAGGCACACAGCUAUACAUCACCACUUGCUCCUGGAACAAUAAGGUUAGCACUUGUUCAAGUUGUGCAAUAAAAUCGUUAGUUUUCAUAGGAAAUGUUAUGAUUUUUACUCUCUUAACUCAAAUUCACAACCCUAAUCACUAAUCAAUGGACCAACCUCCGCGUCCGAAGCCUGCUGUCCUGCGGCAAGCCUAGAACCAAAUACAUGCGGCCUGCUUGUACUCUACAGCCAAGAUCUAUGAAAAAAAAACAAAAGGGACAAAAGUCUGCAUAUACCACUGCAAGAGGAUGCACAGACCUGCAAUAAACGAGUCUCAUCGAUCCCUGCGGCCACUCGUCCCGUCGUGGCCGAUUCCCACCGCCGCUUGUCCCCUCCUCCCAGGUCCUCGCCGAUCCUCGCCGCUCGUCCCGUCCUCCUCCUCGUCGAUGCCGCAUACGGCAACAGCUGAGGCGAAGGUGCCUGCUACUGGUAGGAUGAGGUCUUGGAGAGAUUCAGACUGCGGAGAGAGAGAGGGAUUGAUACGCA